Molecule: ribosomal RNA, 492 nt
Filed under: uncultured bacterium
Lineage: Bacteria
Description: partial 16S ribosomal RNA
Rfam family: Bacterial small subunit ribosomal RNA
Source: RNAcentral
AGCGAACGCUGGCGGCAGGCCUAACACAUGCAAGUCGAACGGCAGCACAGUAAGAGCUUGCUCUUACGGGUGGCGAGUGGCGGACGGGUGAGGAAUAUAUCGUAAUCUACUCUUUCGUGGGGGUUAACGUAGGGAAACUUACGCCAAUACCGCAUACGACCUACGGGUGAAAGCAGUGGAUCUUCGGACCUUGCGCGAUUGAAUGAGCCGAUGUCGGAUUAGCUAGUUGGCGGGGUAAUGGCCCACCAAGGCGGCGAUCCGUAGCUGGUCUGAGAGGAUGGUCAGCCGCACUAGAGCUGGGACACGGUCCAGACUCCUGCGAGAGGCAGCAGUGGGGUAUAUUAGGCUAUAGGCGCGAGCAUUGUACAACCAUCCCGCGUGGGAUGAGGAGACGUUCGGGUUGUAAAGCCCUUUUGUUGGGAAAGAAAAGCAGCAGGUUAAUACGAAGCUGUUCUGACGGUAACCAGAGAAUAAGCACCGGCUAACUUCGUG